Molecule: long non-coding RNA, 275 nt
Filed under: Ananas comosus (pineapple)
Lineage: Eukaryota; Viridiplantae; Streptophyta; Magnoliopsida; Poales; Bromeliaceae
Description: long non-coding RNA (ACOM_LNC043801)
Source: RNAcentral
ACGCUAAAUUGACUACAUCAAUAACAAUACAUACAAUAUAUAAAUAGGGGCAAUUGCUUAUAUACUCCUGCAAAGUUUUCGACUUUCUGAUUUACCCCCGUUAGAAAGCUAAUAUUAAAAAUAUCCUUUUUACGUUCCCACCUAUUUCAAAUAUAUCCCUAGAGUUAAUUUUUGUUAGUGAGCUGUUAGCAACAGUCAUUAUUUAUGUGAAAUUACUAUUUUGUCCUUUCAAAUAUACCCUUCUACCAUCGCAAACUUUUCUUAUUUGUCCUAAG